AGAGUUUGAUCAUGGCUCAGAUUGAACGCUGGCGGCAGGCCUAACACAUGCAAGUCGAGCGGAAACACAAGGGAGCUUGCUCCUGAGGUGUCGAGCGGCGGACGGGUGAGUAAUGCUUGGGAAACUGCCCAGUCGUGGGGGACAACCAUUGGAAACGAUGGCUAAUACCGCAUACGCCCUACGGGGGAAAGGAGGGGACUCUUCGGAGCCUUUCGCGAUUGGAUGUGCCCAAGUGGGAUUAGCUAGUUGGUGAGGUAAAGGCUCACCAAGGCGACGAUCCCUAGCUGGUUUGAGAGGAUGAUCAGCCACACUGGAACUGAGACACGGUCCAGACUCCUACGGGAGGCAGCAGUGGGGAAUAUUGCACAAUGGAGGAAACUCUGAUGCAGCCAUGCCGCGUGUAUGAAGAAGGCCUUCGGGUUGUAAAGUACUUUCAGCGAGGAGGAAAGGUUAGUAGUUAAUAACUGCUAGCUGUGACGUUACUCGCAGAAGAAGGACCGGCUAACUCCGUGCCAGCAGCCGCGGUAAU
RNAcentral lists this ribosomal RNA (529 nucleotides) under uncultured bacterium. RNAcentral describes it as "bacterial SSU rRNA". It matches the Rfam family "Bacterial small subunit ribosomal RNA", at positions 8 to 524 of the family's 1533-position model. The record is from RNAcentral.